UCCCCGAUAGUUCAGCCGGUAGAACGGUGGACUGUUAAUCCAUAUGUCGCAGGUUCGAAUCCUGCUCGGGGAGCCA
RNAcentral lists this transfer RNA (76 nucleotides) under Pseudoselenomonas ruminantium. RNAcentral's name for it is "Selenomonas ruminantium (feces metagenome) tRNA-Asn". It matches the Rfam family "tRNA". Rfam says of the family: Transfer RNA (tRNA) molecules are approximately 80 nucleotides in length. Their secondary structure includes four short double-helical elements and three loops (D, anti-codon, and T loops). Lineage: Bacteria; Bacillati; Bacillota; Negativicutes; Selenomonadales; Selenomonadaceae. The record is from RNAcentral. RNAcentral also lists the same sequence under 3 other names.